Molecule: long non-coding RNA, 2561 nt
Filed under: Homo sapiens (human)
Lineage: Eukaryota; Metazoa; Chordata; Mammalia; Primates; Hominidae
Description: HSALNT0333695
Source: RNAcentral
CUUCCAGGGUAGACAGUGGUGACGGUGGCACAACCUUGUGAUUACGCUAGAAGCCACUGAGCUGCACACUUUAAAAGGAUAAAUUGUGUGGCAUAUGAAUUCUCAAUUCUCAAUAAUAAGAAUGCUGUCCCGAAAGCCUCUUUCUACUAAGAGAAUUGCCUUGUCCCCAACGCACAUCUCUUAGUCGUUGGGACAUCUAGGCAGAGGUCAUCAAACCUAGCCACUGCGUAGAACCACCUGGAGAGUUUUUAAUAUCCAUGUUCCCAGGCCACAGCCACAACCUAGGUUGUUAAAUCAGUAAACCCAGGUUGGACCUAAAUCUUAGUAUCUUUUAAAGUUCCCUAGGUGAUUCCGAUGUGUAGUCAAGUUUUAGAACUACUGAUUUAGCCCGUGGUUUGAACCUUCCUGAUAGUACUCAUUGUGCCCUGCCAUGAAUUUUUUUUUUUUUUUUAAGAGAGGAGUCUUGCUGUGUCACUCAGUUGGAAUGCAGUGGCAUGAUUAUAGCUCACUGCAGCCUUGAAUGCCUGGGCUCAAGCAAUCCUCCCACCACAGCCUCUUGAGUAGCUGGGACUACAGGCGAGUGCCACCACACCCAGCUGUCAUCUACCAUCUUCUACCCUAUGAACCCUCCAAGAUCAGGAAAUGUGUCCGUUUCUUCUUUGUCAGCCUCACAAACUUUUUUUUUAAGUUCAACUAUCCCUGUCAUUACUAACUAUUCCCCCAUGAUCCCUAGCCUACACUUUUCUGUGGAUGAAAAUGUAAUGUAUUCGAGAAUUUUAACAAUUUCUUAGUUUUCCCAUUCACAUUCACUGAUAAUUUAUUUUGAUCCUCAUAAUUUAUUGAGCACAGCAGGGACCGGGGUCCUUUCCCCACCUUAGAGAGAUUAUUUUCACUGCUAAAGAUCAUAAGCCUAGUGAGAGACUGGGAGGGAGAUGGACCUAGCUCUCCUGACACAGGUCCCAAGCCCUUACCUCCACGGUGUCUACCCUCCCUCCAGGACUUCCUCCGUGUGCCAGCUCCAGCAAAGGAUCUGAUUCAGCUCGCCCCCAAAAAAGACUUUUAAUAGUUCAAUAACAAUAAUGAAUAUGCAAGGUUUGUUCUAAGGCAUUUAGAAAUGGUUUCAGGGAGUCAUGAAGCCAGUCCUCUCUUGGGCUAGGGGAGGCCGAGAUGGUCUUGAGCUCCAGGGGACUUGUUUCUUAGUGCCCAGGCCUGGGCGCCCCUCCCCCACCAAGCCUCCCAGGUCUUCUGUCCAAAGCCCUCCCCCUCCACCCCACCUCCAACCCCGUCUGCUCUACCCCAUCAACUACGUUUUCUCCCUCAGCACUUGCCUUAUACCCCAUGCACUCACGAGCACAGAGGCGACUUCCCUCUCUCAGACUUUAGGCGCCACUGCAGGGUCCGGAAAAGAAAGAGAAACGGCCCAGCGCGGUCGCUUACAUAACCCAGGGCGGGGCUCCGCUCCGCCCCCGAAAGUUUUUGCGACGGAGUUUUCCCUCUUGUUGCCCAGGCUGAAGUGCAAUGGCGCGAUCUCGGCUCACCGCAACCUCCGCCUCCAAGGUUUAAGCGAUUCUCCUGCCUCAGCCUCCCGACUAGCUGGGAUUACAGGCAUUCACCACCAAGCCCGUCUAAUUUUAUAUUUUUAGUAGAGACGGGAUUUCCCCAUGUUGGUCAGGUUGGUCUCGAGCUCCCGACCUCAGGUGAUCGCCCGCCUCGACCUCCCAAAGUGCUGGGAUUACAGGCGUGAACCACCGUGCCCGGCCUUGGCCGCAUGUGUUUUGAAUUUUGCUGCCCGGAAUUCACUGCGAGGACUGGGAUCACCCGUCACCCCGCCCUGGUCUACGGAAAAUGAAAUGUGUUUACUGAUAUAGAAACGGAAUAACGGCGCUGUGGGCUGGGGAGGGCCGAGCUGCCUUCAGGCUUCUGGUCUCCAGCUGCAGGGCACUCACACCUGCCCGUUAUGAAAAUGCAGACCCGCAGGGCAGGAAUUCCGAGUCCGGGCUGGAGCGUGAUCUGGAAUCCGGCUCUCUUGAAACAGCACCGCGGAGGAUUCGGAUCCGGCAAAGAGAUUCACAGUGUGAGCGAAAUUCAACGUGAGGGGCUUCCUCCGCUGUGAGCUUUGAAAAUGAAGGGGCCAUGUGGCAAAGGAUAUGACGGGCUCCAGGAAUUGAGAACAGCUCCACCCCACCUCCACCUGACAGCUGCCCAGGAACAAGGACUACAAUCCCACAACUGCCUGAAACUGAAUUCUGCCACCAAGCUCUGUAUAAGCUGGAAGGAGGACCCCAGCCUCAAGAUGAGGACACAGCUUCGUGAAAUCCUGAGCUGAGAAUCAUUCACACCAGGCCUGGAUUUCUCAUUAAGGAAAUGUAGAGAAAUAAAUGGGUGCUGUGUAGAGCCAGUGAGUUAGUGGUAAUAUGUUAUGCAGUAACAGAAAAUUCAUACAUAGACCAACAGAUAAGCAUAUAACAUUUUCUCGAUUGGAAUAAAUUAGUGAAUUGAAAUGUACACUCCUUGUAUAAGAUAAAAUCUUUCCUAAUUUUUUGUAUUCUUCAUUUUAUAAU